CUGAUGCAGCCAUGCCGCGUGUGUGAAGAAGGCCUUCGGGUUGUAAAGCACUUUCAGUUGUGAGGAAAAGUUAGUAGUUAAUACCUGCUAGCCGUGACGUUAACAACAGAAGAAGCACCGGCUAACUCCGUGCCAGCAGCCGCGGUAAUACGGAGGGUGCGAGCGUUAAUCGGAAUUACUGGGCGUAAAGCGCACGCAGGCGGUUUGUUAAGCUAGAUGUGAAAGCCCCGGGCUCAACCUGGGACGGUCAUUUAGAACUGGCAGACUAGAGUCUUGGAGAGGGGAGUGGAAUUCCAGGUGUAGCGGUGAAAUGCGUAGAUAUCUGGAGGAACAUCAGUGGCGAAGGCGACUCCCUGGCCAAAGACUGACGCUCAUGUGCGAAAGUGUGGGUAGCGAACAGGAUUAGAUACCCUGGUAGUCCACACCGUAAACGCUGUCUACUAGCUGUUUGUGGCUUUAAGCCGUGAGUAGCGAAGCUAACGCGAUAAGUAGACCGCCUGGGGAGUACGGCCGCAAGGUUAAAACUCAAAUG
Molecule: ribosomal RNA, 532 nt
Filed under: Alteromonas sp.
Lineage: Bacteria; Pseudomonadati; Pseudomonadota; Gammaproteobacteria; Alteromonadales; Alteromonadaceae
Description: bacterial SSU rRNA
Rfam family: Bacterial small subunit ribosomal RNA
Source: RNAcentral